Molecule: ribosomal RNA, 253 nt
Filed under: uncultured bacterium
Lineage: Bacteria
Description: partial 16S ribosomal RNA
Rfam family: Bacterial small subunit ribosomal RNA
Source: RNAcentral
UACAGAGGUCUCAAGCGUUGUUCGGAUUCAUUGGGCGUAAAGGGUGCGUAGGCGGCGCGGUAAGUCGGGUGUGAAAUCUCGGAGCUUAACUCCGAAACUGCAUUCGAUACUGCCGUGCUUGAGGACUGGAGAGGAGACUGGAAUUCAUGGUGUAGCAGUGAAAUGCGUAGAGAUCAUGAGGAAGACCAGUGGCGAAGGCGGGUCUCUGGACAGUUCCUGACACUGAGACACGAAAGCGUGGGUAGCAAACAGG